RNAcentral lists this ribosomal RNA (253 nucleotides) under uncultured bacterium. RNAcentral's name for it is "partial 16S ribosomal RNA". It matches the Rfam family "Bacterial small subunit ribosomal RNA", at positions 524 to 776 of the family's 1533-position model. The record is from RNAcentral.
UACAGAGGUCCCAAGCGUUGUUCGGAUUCACUGGGCGUAAAGGGUGCGCAGGCGGUCGGGUAAGUCUGACGUGAAAUCCCGCAGCUUAACUGCGGAAUGGCAUUGGAUACUAUUCGGCUAGAGGGUUGGAGGGGGGACUGGAAUUCUCGGUGUAGCAGUGAAAUGCGUAGAUAUCGAGAGGAACACCAGUGGCGAAGGCGAGUCCCUGGACAACUCCUGACGCUGAGGCACGAAAGCUAGGGGAGCAAACAGG